GAGUUUGAUCAUGGCUCAGAGCGAACGCUGGCGGCAGGCCUAACACAUGCAAGUCGAGCGCCCGUAGCAAUAAAAAAAAAACAGACGGGUGAGUAACGCGUGGGAACGUGCCCUUUAGUUCGGAAUAACCCAGGGAAACUUGAGCUAAUACCAAAUACGCCCUUCGGGGGAAAGAUUUAUCGCUAAAGGAUCGGCCCGCGUAAGAUUAGCUAGUUGGUGAGGUAACGGCUCACCAAGGCUAUGAUCUUUAGCUGUUCUGAGAGGAAGAUCAGCCACACUGGGACUGAGACACGGCCCAGACUCCUACGGGAGGCAGCAGUGGGGAAUAUUGGACAAUGGGCGCAAGCCUGAUCCAGCCAUGCCGCGUGAGUGAUGAAGGCCUUAGGGUUGUAAAGCUCUUUUACCAGGGAAGAUAAUGA
Molecule: ribosomal RNA, 419 nt
Filed under: uncultured Hyphomicrobiaceae bacterium
Lineage: Bacteria; Pseudomonadati; Pseudomonadota; Alphaproteobacteria; Hyphomicrobiales; Hyphomicrobiaceae
Description: bacterial SSU rRNA
Rfam family: Bacterial small subunit ribosomal RNA
Source: RNAcentral